Molecule: long non-coding RNA, 511 nt
Organism: Bactrocera neohumeralis
Lineage: Eukaryota; Metazoa; Arthropoda; Insecta; Diptera; Tephritidae
Exons: 3
Source: RefSeq, a predicted model, not a curated record
CACAUGUUCUUAAGGACACAGUUAUAGAGGCAGCUGCACGACUACAAUUCCUCAACAAAGUGCAAAGUCAAAAAUUGUCAGUCAGUUAAUUGAAAAUUAUGUGGAGCAGAUCAAAUUUAUUACUGACAUAUUCAGUGAAGAUGAAGAUUUGGUAGAGAAUACCAUUGACGAGGUGUAUGAUGAUUUGCUCAUUACACUAAACUGUCGUAGAGGUGUAGAAAAUAUUAUUCCAAAGUCAAUUCAUUGGUACGAUGAUAUUUUAACCACAAUGGAUGACAAUCGGUUCCGUCAAAUGCUGCGUGUAGACCGAACUCAAUUUACUCACUUAUUGACCCUCAUCCCUGCAAGACGGAGGUAACAGAUUGCACAAACACAUUGAAACAUUUUCAGCUGUUCACUAACACUGUUACAUUUUCUGGAAUUUUCAAUUGAAUGGGAGAAUACGAGAAACGAAUGCCAAAUUUUUGAAGAAGAAGAAAACGAAAAGCACAGUUUAUUUUAGAUUUUAAAG